GAUGAAGAACGUAGCGAAACGCGAUAAGUAGUGUGAAUUGCAGAAUUCAGUGAAUCAUCGAGUCUUUGAACGCACAUUGCGCCCCCUGGUAUUCCGGGGGGCAUGCCUGUCCGAGCGUCAUUGCUGCCCUCAAGCACGGCUUGUGUGUUGGGCCGUCGUCCCCCUCCUAGGGGACGGGCCCGAAAGGCAGCGGCGGCACCGCGUCCGGUCCUCGAGCGUAUGGGGCUUCGUCACCCGCUCCGUAGGCCCGGCCGGCGCUUGCCGACGACCAUCAAUCUCUUUCUCCAGGUUGACCUCGGAUCAGGUAGGGAUACCCGCUGAACUUAAGCAUAUCAAUAAGCGGAGGA
This 347-nucleotide unclassified non-coding RNA is filed under the name soil metagenome. RNAcentral's name for it is "partial contains 5.8S ribosomal RNA, internal transcribed spacer 2, and large subunit ribosomal RNA". The stretch from base 1 to 120 matches the Rfam family "5.8S ribosomal RNA", at positions 35 to 154 of the family's 154-position model. The record is from RNAcentral.